RNAcentral lists this ribosomal RNA (316 nucleotides) under Odontozona aff. sculpticaudata LMT-2017. Its description in RNAcentral is "partial 12S ribosomal RNA". The record is from RNAcentral. Lineage: Eukaryota; Metazoa; Arthropoda; Malacostraca; Decapoda; Stenopodidae.
ACCUAAUAGAUUUGGCGGUACCCGCUACUUAUCAGAGAAAUUUGCUGUAAGAAAUCGAUAAUCCCCGAAGUAUCUUACUUUUGCUUGAAUAUCAGUUUGUAUACCGUCAUAGAUGUUAUUUUUAAAAAAUGAGAAUUAUUUGGUUAAUUUUGUUUAAUUAGAAAUUAGAUCAAGGUGCAGCUAAUGUAGAAGGUUAGAGUGAAUUGCAGUGUAGUCUUACAGAUGUCUGGAAAAAAUAUUGUAAUAUGUUUUUGAAAGUGGAUUUGAUAGUAAUAAUAUUUUAACAAGUUAUUUUGAUUUUAGUUCUGGGGUAUGU